Molecule: ribosomal RNA, 520 nt
Filed under: uncultured bacterium
Lineage: Bacteria
Description: bacterial SSU rRNA
Rfam family: Bacterial small subunit ribosomal RNA
Source: RNAcentral
GAUGAACGCCGGCGGUGUGCCUAAUACAUGCAAGUCGAGCGCACUGGCCCAACCGAUAUGACGUGCUUGCACUGAUUUGACGAUGGAUCACCAGUGAGCGGCGGACGGGUGAGUAACACGUGGGCAACCUGCCCUGGAGCGGGGGAUAACAUUUGGAAACAGAUGCUAAUACCGCAUAAUAAUCAAAACCACAUGGUUUUGAUUUCAAAGAUGGCUUCGGCUAUCACUCCAGGAUGGGCCCGCGGUGCAUUAGCUAGUUGGUAAGGUAACGGCUUACCAAGGCGAUGAUGCAUAGCCGAGUUGAGAGACUGAUCGGCCACAAUGGAACUGAGACACGGUCCAUACUCCUACGGGAGGCAGCAGUAGGGAAUCUUCCACAAUGGGCGCAAGCCUGAUGGAGCAACACCGCGUGAGUGAAGAAGGGUUUCGGCUCGUAAAACUCUGUUGUUGAAGAAGAACGUGCGUGAGAGUAACUGUUCACGCAGUGACGGUAUUCAACCAGAAAGUCACGGCUAACUAC